Molecule: unclassified non-coding RNA, 205 nt
Filed under: Hevea brasiliensis (rubber tree)
Lineage: Eukaryota; Viridiplantae; Streptophyta; Magnoliopsida; Malpighiales; Euphorbiaceae
Source: RNAcentral
AAUUAAGCCAAAAAGGAAAGAAAAAAACAAAGAAAACCUUGCUUGGUUUCAGCUCAGCACAUCUCCUUUUUGACUUAAAAAGACAACUUUCCACUUGUGAAAUGCCACUCAUUAGUGUCUCAGCACAGAGAAAGAAAAUUCAAAUUUGCAAAACUAUUCUUGCGGUGCUGUAUGAACCAAUAAGCAAUAUCAAGUUCAAUUAGAA